RNAcentral lists this long non-coding RNA (2956 nucleotides) under Triticum aestivum (bread wheat). Its description in RNAcentral is "long non-coding RNA (TAES_LNC015809)". Lineage: Eukaryota; Viridiplantae; Streptophyta; Magnoliopsida; Poales; Poaceae. The record is from RNAcentral.
CUCGCCGGACCCCCUCGACCCUCGCCGACCCCUCUCCUCACGACGCACGUGAGCCCCCGAACGCACCCCCUCUCCUCUCUGCCUCCCUCGCUCGCCCGCUCGUCCGCCGUGGCCGCACCCUGCUCGUGGUCACCGCCGCCCCCGCUCGCGCCCCGCCACGGUCGUCGUCGCCCCAGCGCACGCCCAAGGCCGCCCGUUGUGCCGCUGCAGCCUGCACCCGCGGCCUGCCGUUCGCCCCUCCCCUUGUGCGCCCCGCCUGGGCUGCCUUGCUGCUGCACCUGCUCCUCCCGUUGGCCCCCGCUAGCCGUUGCGACCGCACCCUGCAAUCCUCGUCGCGCCCGCUGCGUCGCCCGAGCCUUGCCUCUGCUCCGCUCGACGCUGACGCCCUUGCAGCCCACCUCCGGCAGCCCCACGACCACCCUUCGGAGCGCCUUGUCGCGCUGCGUCUGCCGAGCCAACCCACCAAUCUAGCCAUCGCAGGAAAUGGCCGGCCGGCGAACACCGCCACUCUCUGUGCUCACUGCCAGGUGGUCCCAGCACAAUUAACCACUAACCAGGACUCUAGCACUCACUGACAGUAGGCCCCGCGAGGCUUAAUUAACGACUAAUAAAAAUUGUUUAAGUAAACUGAAGUACUCACUGACAGCUAGGGCCCACCACUAACUAAUCCAUGUUUAAUUUAAUUGCUCUACUGUGUAUGGCAUGUGGGACCCCACACUAUUGUUGUGGAUAAGACUGUCCCAGUCAGCCUCUGCUGACUGGGCUAUUGACCCAGUCAACAGGGCCCACCAGUCAGCCCCUGUGUAAGCUGACAGGGUGAAACUCUGGGUGCAUUUAGCAUUUUAUUGCUCUGGAUAAUUUGAAAUUUAAUAAAUUAAAUUACUCUGUUAAUUCCAAAAAUGAAUUAAAAUUUUGAAAAUUAAUAUAAAAUAAUUCGUAAUCCGGAUGAAAAUACUUUAUACAUGAAAGUUGCUCAGAACGACGAGACAAAUCAGAAUAUGUAGUCCGUUCGACCACCACAUGUCCCUAGCAUAGCGAACAUGCAACAAUACACCACCGUUUCAUUUGCCCGAAAACGUCAAACACAGGGAAUAUUUUCCCGGAUGUUUUCCCCCUUCGCCAGUAACACCUUCUAUCGCGUUAGGGCACUCUUAGGACCGUUUUUUGCUUUGUCAUGCAUCGUCAUGCUUAUGUUUGCAUUAUAUGUAUUGUUUCUUCCCCCUCUUCUCUCCGGUAGACUACGAGACUGACGCCGCUGUUACCCCAAUCGACUAUGGUGUUGACGACCCCUCCUUGCCAGAGCAACCAGACAAGCCCACCCCCUUGAUCACCCGAUAUCGCCUAUUCCUUCUCUCUACUGCUUGCAUUAGAGUAGUGUAGCUUGUUACUACUUUCGGUUAAUCCUAUUCUAUUGCAUAGCCUGUCAUUGUUGCUACCAUUGUUGAUACCUUUACCUACAAUCCUAAAUGCUUAGUAGAGGUUGCUAGUUAUCAUCAGUGGCCCUACAUUCUUGUCCGUCUACCAUGCUAUACUAUCGGGUCGUGAUCACUUGGGAGGUGAUCACGGGUAUAUAAAUACAUACAUACACAUAUACUAUACAUGUGGUGACUAAAGUCGGGUCGGCUCGUACAGUACCCGCAAGUGAUUUAGAUAUGGGGUCUAAAAAGACAGGUGGUUCUAUCCAGUUAGUAGUGGACCUGGGUUCUCGACGGCCCCUGAGUGCUACUUUGUGGCGGAGCGACAGGGCAGGUUGUGACCACCUAGGAGAUAGGUGGGCCUGGUCCUGGUCGGCGUCCGUAGUUACUUCAAAAUAACACGCUUAACGAGAUCUUGGUAUUUGAUAUGAGCCUGGGUCGUUGACCUUAUACGCACUAACCACCACGUGGGACAAGAUAUGGGCAACUGGCGCCGUGGUAUCAGCCGAAGCCUUCUAGACGUCAGCGACUGAGCGGCGCGCGCUGGAUUGGACUGGAACGCUUGAUCUUGUAUUAGGGAGGCUAUGUCUGCUUUCGGCCGCCCUCGCAAUGUGCAGGUGUGCAAUGGGCGAUGGGCCCAGACCCUUGCGCGCAUAGGAUUUAGACCGGCGUGCUGACCUCUCUAUUAGGCCUAGGUAGGGUUGCGAUGUGUUGAUCUCCCGAGGCCGGACAUGACCCAGGAAAGUGUGCCCGUCCAGAGGGAUCGAGUGUGUCGGGUAAUGUGGUGCACCCCUGCAGGGAAGUUGAUCUAUUCGAAUAGUUGUGUCCACGGUAACAGGACGACCCGGAGUUGUACUUUGACCUUAUGACAAUUAGAACCGGAUACUUAAUAAAAACACACCCAGACAAGUUCGAGAGACAACCCGGUGGUUGCUUUCCCACAGGGUGACGAGGGGAGGAUCGCCGGGUAGGAUUAUGUUAUGCGAUGAUACUUGGUGAACUUACCAUCUACUCUUUUCUACAUGCUGCAAGAUGGAGGCUGCCAGAAGCGCAGUCUUCGAUAAGACUAGCUAUCCCCCUCUUAUUCUGGCAUUCUGCAGUUCAGUUCACCGAUAUUGCCCUUUUACACAGAUACCCAUGCAUAUGUAGUGUAGAUCCUUGCUUGCGAGUACUUUGGAUGAGUACUCAUGGUUGCUUUGCUCCCUCCUUUCCCCCUUUUCCUCUUCUCCUCGGACGCCGCAACCAGAUGAUGGAGCCCAGGAGCUAGACGCCACCGUCGACGACGACCCCUACUACACCGCCGGUGCCUACUACUACGUUCAGGUCGCCGACGACCAGGAGUAGUUUAGGAGGAUCCCAGGCAGGAGGCCUGCGCCUCUUUCGAUCUGUAUCCCAGUUUGUGCUAGCCAUCUUAUGGCACCUUGUUUAACUUAUGUCUGUACUCAGAUAUUGUUGCUUCCGCUGACUCGUUUAUGUUCGAGCACUUGUAUUUGAGCCCUCGAGGCCCCUGACCUGUAAUAUGAUGCUUGUAUGACUUAAUU